UUCGCCCUUAGAGUUUGAUCCUGGCUCAGGAUGAAUUCUGGCGGCAUGCCUAACACAUGCAAGUCGAACGGGGUUUAUAUAACAGAACUCUCCGGAGGGAAGAUAUAUAAACCUAGUGGCGGACGGGUGAGUAACGCGUGGGCAACCUGCCCUGUACCGGGGGACAACAGCCAGAAAUGGCUGCUAAUACCGCAUAAGCCUGCUGUGCCGCAUGGCACAGCAGGGAAAACCACGGUGGUACAGGAUGGGCCCGCGUCUGAUUAGUUAGUUGGCAGGGUAACGGCCUACCAAGACAACGAUCAGUAGCCGGCUUGAGAGAGUGGACGGCCACAUUGGGACUGAGACACGGCCCAGACUCCUGCGGGAGGCAGCAGUGGGGAAUAUUGCACAAUGGGGGGAACCCUGAUGCAGCGACGCCGCGUGAGUGAAGAAGUAUUUCGGUAUGUAAAGCUCUGUCAGCAGGGAAGAAGAAAGACGGUACCUGACCAAGAAGCCCCGGCUAACUACGUGCCAGCAGCCGCGGUAAUACGUAGGGGGCAAGCGUUAUCCGGAUUUACUGGGUGUAAAGGGAGCGUAGACGGCAGGGCAAGUCUGGAGUGAAAGGCAGGGGCCCAACCCCUGGACUGCUCUGGAAACUGUCCGGCUGGAGUGAAGUAGAGGCAGGUGGAAUUCCCGGUGUAGCGGUGAAAUGCGUAGAGAUCGGGAGGAACACCAGUGGCGAAGGCGGCCUGCUGGGCUUUAACUGACGCUGAGGCACGAAAGCAUGGGUAGCAAACAGGAUUAGAUACCCUGGUAGUCAUGCCGUAAACGAUGAUUACUAGGUGUGGGUGGACUGACCCCAUCCGUGCCGGAGUUAACACAAUAAGUAAUCCACCUGGGAAGUACGACCGCAAGGUUGAAACUCAAAGGAAUUGACGGGGGCCCGCACAAGCAGUGGAGUAUGUGGUUUAAUUCGAAGAUACGCGAAGAACCUUACCAGGUCUUGACAUCCGACUAACGAAGUAGAGAUACAUUAGGUGCCCUUCGGGGAAAGUCGAGACAGGUGGUGCAUGGUUGUCGUCAGCUCGUGUCGUGAGAUGUUGGGUUAAGUCCCGCAACGAGCGCAACCCUUACUGUUAGUUGCUACGCAAGAGCACUCUAGCAGGACUGCCGUUGACAAAACGGAGGAAGGUGGGGACGACGUCAAAUCAUCAUGCCCCUUAUGACCUGGGCUACACACGUACUACAAUGGCCGUAAACAGAGGGAAGCAAAGCCGCGAGGUGGAGCCAACCCCCAAAAGCGGUCUCAGUUCAGAUUGCAGGCUGCAACUCGCCUGCAUGAAGUCGGAAUUGCUAGUAAUCGCAGAUCAGAAUGCUGCGGUGAAUACGUUCCCGGGCCUUGCACACACCGCCCGUCA
This 1397-nucleotide ribosomal RNA is filed under the name uncultured bacterium. Its description in RNAcentral is "16S ribosomal RNA". It matches the Rfam family "Bacterial small subunit ribosomal RNA". The record is from RNAcentral.